Molecule: ribosomal RNA, 253 nt
Filed under: uncultured bacterium
Lineage: Bacteria
Description: partial 16S ribosomal RNA
Rfam family: Bacterial small subunit ribosomal RNA
Source: RNAcentral
UACGAAGGGGGCUAGCGUUGUUCGGAAUUACUGGGCGUAAAGCGUGCGUAGACGGUUAUGUAAGUCGGAUGUGAAAGCCCCGGGCUCAACCUGGGAAUUGCAUUCGAGACUGCAUAGCUAGGAUGCGGAAGAGGGAAGUGGAAUUUCCGGUGUAGCGGUGAAAUGCGUAGAUAUCGGAAGGAACAUCAGUGGCGAAAGCGACUUCCUGGUCCAGCAUCGACGUUCAGGCACGAAAGCGUGGGGAGCAAACAGG